Molecule: ribosomal RNA, 497 nt
Filed under: uncultured bacterium
Lineage: Bacteria
Description: partial 16S ribosomal RNA
Rfam family: Bacterial small subunit ribosomal RNA
Source: RNAcentral
GACGAACGCUGGCGGCGUGCCUAAUACAUGCAAGUAGAACGCUGAAGCGAGGAGCUUGCUCUUCUUGGGUGACUUGCGAACGGGUGAGUAACGCGUAGGUAACCUGCCUUGUAGCAGGGGAUAACUAUUGGAAACGAUAGCUAAUACCGCAUAACAAUGGAUGACACAUGUCUUUUAUUUGAAAGGGGCAAUUGCUCCACUACAAGAUGGACCUGCGUUGUAUUAGCUAGUAGGUGAGGUAAUGGCCCACCUAGGCGACGAUACAUAGCCGGCCUGGGCAGGUGAACGGCCACACUGGGAAUGAGACACGGCCCAGACCCCUACGGGAGGCAGCAGUAGGGGAUCUUCGGCAAUGGGGGCAACCCUGACCGAGCAACGCCGCGUGAGUGAAGAAGGUUUUCGGAUCGUAAAGGUCCGUUGUACGUCAAGAAAGGGUGUGAGAGUGGAAAGUUCACACUGUGACGGUAGCUUACCAGAAAGGGACGGCUAACUACGUG